AGGACCCAAGUAAAAGAUUGGGAUGUACUUCAUUAGGAGAGAGAGCUAUACGAGAUCAUGUAUUCUUUCAGGAUAUUGAUUGGAGAAGAUUAGAAAGAAGAGCAAUUGAACCGCCUUUCAAACCAAAAGUUGGGAAAACAUACUUAGAUCCAGUAAAUUUCGAGUUAGAGUUCACACGAGAAGAAGCAGCACUUACACCUUCAGGAAAGGACGUUUUAGAGACAAUUAAUCAGGACGAUUUCAAAGGAUUUUCAUAUGUUAAUCCGAACUUCACAGCCAACACGCAAUUCAACUUGUAACAGUUAAACUAGCUGGACCUAACAUCGCGACGUGUCACGUGAACUGCCUACCAUGGCUAAUGAGCUCCACCUACCCAAAGUAACUUGAUUUUACACACAACCAUUAAAAUCUUGUUCUAUGUGUGUCGACAAGUGUCUGUACUGAUGGAGGAGGAACAGGGGCAAUAUUGGGUGCAAUUUGUCUAGGAUCAUCACUUGGAAUACCAAGUCUUUUGUUUACAUUCCCUUCUGAUGUGAUCCUCUUUAUAAAAACCUGCAUCAGUUCAGGAAUGUAACUAAAUUCUUUGGUACAAGAACACGAA
Molecule: long non-coding RNA, 601 nt
Organism: Dendronephthya gigantea
Lineage: Eukaryota; Metazoa; Cnidaria; Anthozoa; Malacalcyonacea; Nephtheidae
Exons: 3
Source: RefSeq, a predicted model, not a curated record